AAAGAAAGAAGGGAUAAAAGAGGAAGGGAAGAGAGGGAAAAGAAGGAAGAAAAGAGAAAGAAGUGACUCCUAGCAGAGGCCAGGCUUACAGAGAGAAGGGUGGAGGUGUGUGGUGGAAGGGGAAAGCCGGCCGGCUGGCAGAGCGCUACGGAGAAAGACACAAGGCUCCUGCGCAGGGAAAGCCGAGGAUGCCACCGCAGGCCUGGCACGACCAGGGCCGUGAUGCCCCGCCCGGCCCGGCCCCAGCGCGCAGAGUACCUGGAGACGAUUUCAACUGAAGUAAUGAAGGCAGUGUCGUGCUGUCGAGAGAAAGGUGGAUCCCAACAACAGGAAACUACCUAAAUCACCGACCAGUUCUGGUGCUGCCCGCGCAGGGCUGCCUCGCCCGCCGCCGCCGACGCCACCGCCGCCGCCGCCGCCGCUGCCGCCGCCGCCAAGGAGAGAACCCUGCGAUCGCGCCCGGCCCAGCGCAGCCCCUAGGCAACCUGCGCCCGCCGCUGCAACGGAAUGCCCCAGGCCGCCACAAAUGCGUCACUGAAGGGGAAGCCACAGGCCCCAGUAAGCCAAAGUCAAGCCCGUUUGCCAACCUGCAUGUCCAUGCCUGUAAGCCCUUCCCUUGGCCAAGGAAGAAAGGAAGAAAGAAAAAAGAAACCCAGGGGCCUGUAUCCCCUGAUUAAACACAGCACAGCACUCCAGGCAGACAUGCCCGGUGGCGGCUCCUUGCACCAUUGACCUCAGGCCAGACACCUCAGCGCCAACAAUGGGACCUCGGCCUUCCGGCUAGGUUUGCCCCAGGCUGGGCAGGAAACCAGCUCGUCCGAACACAGGGGCCAUUUCCAUCAGUAGGACCCCAAGACAGCAAACCCAGCUCAGUCACGACUUGACACUUAAGACAAUAUCUAUCUCUAUAGAAUUUUAGCACGAUAUGGCUUUUUCCCCCAGAAAACAACAAAUAAACCAGCACCAAGCAAACACAAAGAAACAAAAAGUCAGAACAAACCAGCCCUGCACAGACGUAACGGCCCAGGAGAUGGCGAGUGUGGGAGAGAAGAACAGGGCUCCAGCACAGGUGCGAGUUCCUGGGCAGAGGCUGAAGACAGAGGGAAGGGACCAGCGCUCGGGAAGUGAAAAAACCGCGUCGCCUGGAGAUUCAUCAGGAAAAAUUAAA
Molecule: long non-coding RNA, 1168 nt
Organism: Piliocolobus tephrosceles (Ugandan red Colobus)
Lineage: Eukaryota; Metazoa; Chordata; Mammalia; Primates; Cercopithecidae
Exons: 3
Source: RefSeq, a predicted model, not a curated record